GAUGAACGCUGGCGGCGUGCCUAAUACAUGCCAGUCGAGCGAACGGACGAGAAGCUUUCUUCUCUGAUGUUAGCGGCGGACGGGUGGGUAACACGUGGAUAACCUUCUUCUAAGUCUGGGAUAAUUUCGGGAAACCGGUGCUACUACCGGAUCAUAUUUUGUACCGCUUGGUUCAAAAGUGCAAGACGGCUUUGCUGUUUCAUUUAGCUGGAUCCGCGCUGCAUUAGCUAGUUGGUAAGGUAACGGCUAACCAAGGCAACGAUGCAUAGCCGACCUGAGAGGGUGAUCGGCCACACUGGAACUGAGACACGGUCCAGACUCCUACGGGAGGCAGCAGUGGGGAAUCUUCCACAAUGGGCGAAAGCCUGACGGAGCAACGCCGCGUGAGUGAUGAAGGUCUUCGGAUCGUAAAACUCUGUUAUUAGGGAAGAACAGAUGUGUAAGUAACUGUGCACAUCUUGACGGUACCUAAUCAGAAAGCCACGGCUAACUACGUG
Molecule: ribosomal RNA, 497 nt
Filed under: uncultured bacterium
Lineage: Bacteria
Description: partial 16S ribosomal RNA
Rfam family: Bacterial small subunit ribosomal RNA
Source: RNAcentral